GACGUAGGAUGCAAGCGUUGUCCGGAAUUAUUGGGCGUAAAGAGUUCGUAGGUGGUUACUUAAGUCUGGUGUUAAAGCCCGAAGCUCAACUUCGGCAUGGCAUUGGAAACUGGGUAGCUAGAGUGUGGUAGAGGUAUCGGGAAUUCCUGGUGUAGCGGUGAAAUGCGUAGAUAUCAGGAGGAACACCGGCGGCGAAAGCGCGAUACUGGGCCAUAACUGACGCUGAGGAACGAAAGCCAGGGGAG
RNAcentral lists this ribosomal RNA (245 nucleotides) under uncultured bacterium. RNAcentral describes it as "partial 16S ribosomal RNA". It matches the Rfam family "Bacterial small subunit ribosomal RNA", at positions 524 to 768 of the family's 1533-position model. The record is from RNAcentral.